RNAcentral lists this ribosomal RNA (424 nucleotides) under uncultured prokaryote. RNAcentral describes it as "bacterial SSU rRNA". It matches the Rfam family "Bacterial small subunit ribosomal RNA", at positions 355 to 796 of the family's 1533-position model. The record is from RNAcentral.
UGGGGAAUUUUGCACAAUAGGGGAAACCCUGAUGCAGCGACGCCGCGUGGGUGAAGAAGGCCCUAGGGUUGUAAAACCCUUUCAGCAGGGAAGAUGAUGACGGUACCUGCAGAAGAAGCCCCGGCAAACUCCGUGCCAGCAGCCGCGGUAAUACGGAGGGGGCUAGCGUUGUUCGGAAUUACUGGGCGUAAAGCGCACGUAGGCGGUUUGGAAAGUUGGGUGUGAAAGCCCGGGGCUCAACCCCGGAACUGCACUCAAAACUUCCAGGCUAGAGAUCUGGAGAGGUGGGCGGAAUUCCGAGUGUAGAGGUGAAAUUCGUAGAUAUUCGGAAGAACACCGGUUGCGAAGGCGGCUCACUGGCCAGAGUCUGACGCUGAGGUGCGAAAGCGUGGGGAGCAAACAGGAUUAGAUACCCCCGUAGUCC